AGGUGUCAUGUGAGCAAAGGCAUCUAAAAUGGGCAUGUGCUCGCUUCAAAGUCAAUGAGUAUAUUCAAAAAUGUAUUAAAGAUAUAACUAUUCUUGGAGCACUUACCUACAACUUUAAAUUUUUAGAUUGAAUGGUUUCUUGACAGUAUACAGCUCAAAUCAAUGAAAAAAAACUGAAUGAUAGGAACUGCUAUUGGUUGAGUGUUGAUAUUCUUGCAAGCCUCUGAGCAAUAUGAGAAAGGUUUUGUUCAGUAUGUUUGUUUGAACGUGCAAAUGAAUGCCCUAGCAAUUGCUAUGCGAAUUAAUUUCUGGGCCCUGCAAAUUCAAAUCCAAUUUUGAGUAAUCCAGCGAGAAAAUUUUCUCGGCCACUAAGCUCUAUUUCAAAGCAUUCUGAAGUGGGCCUAACUCAAAAUCAUUAUUUCCGGUACAGCUGAAACAAACUUCAGGCAACCAAAGCCAGCCUGCCGAUCUGCAAAUGCCCUUCACUACAUAUGCCAGGAACAGGAAGACACUGUCUUUUUAUCUUCUGCAAGGAGCAACCAACAAGCAACCAAGUUCUGAAUCCUGAUCCCAUUGACUUUACCAGUUUUGAAGUGGUACCCCCCAAAUUCAAGGACCAUAUUCAUUAGGCAAUCUUUAGGACAGACAUCGUAUUUAAUAAAAUUUAAAUCUCGACGCUCACAUUAAAUAGCUUCCUUUUAUCACUAGACUAAGGCACAAUUUCAUCCAAGAAGAAUUAUUAUCUGCAUAAAAGGCUAAAAAUACUCAUCUCUGAGACCUUGCUUGCCUAGUAAAGGAGUAUUUCACUCUUUAGAUGGGAAAGAUUUGAGCUGGAAAGUGCCAACUUUGAACUUCUAUUGUAUAUCCACCUAUUAGUCCA
Molecule: unclassified non-coding RNA, 880 nt
Filed under: Hevea brasiliensis (rubber tree)
Lineage: Eukaryota; Viridiplantae; Streptophyta; Magnoliopsida; Malpighiales; Euphorbiaceae
Source: RNAcentral